RNAcentral lists this ribosomal RNA (499 nucleotides) under uncultured Glomeromycotina. RNAcentral's name for it is "partial small subunit ribosomal RNA". It matches the Rfam family "Eukaryotic small subunit ribosomal RNA", at positions 591 to 1092 of the family's 1831-position model. Lineage: Eukaryota; Fungi; Glomeromycota. The record is from RNAcentral.
CCAAUAGCGUAUAUUAAAGUUGCUGCAGUUAAAAAGCUCGUAGUUGAAUUUCGGGACCAAUAUGUCGGUCGUGCCUCGGUACGUACUGGCAUCGUUGGUUUCUCCCUUCUGACGAACCAUGAUGUCAUUUAUUUGGGGUUGUGGGGAAUCAGGACUGUUACUUUGAAAAAAUUAGAGUGUUUAAAGCAGGCUCACGCUUGAAUACAUUAGCAUGGAAUAAUGAAAUAGGACGUUUGAUUCUAUUUUGUUGGUUUCUAGGAUCGACGUAAUGAUUAAUAGGGAUAGUUGGGGGCAUUAGUAUUCAAUUGUCAGAGGUGAAAUUCUUGGAUUUAUUGAAGACUAACUACUGCGAAAGCAUUUGCCAAGGAUGUUUUCAUUAAUCAAGAACGAAAGUUAGGGGAUCGAAGACGAUCAGAUACCGUCGUAGUCUUAACCAUAAACUAUGCCGACUAGGGAUCGGAUGAUGUUAAUUUUUUAAUGACUCAUUCGGCGCCUUACG